RNAcentral lists this ribosomal RNA (978 nucleotides) under Neodevriesia manglicola. RNAcentral describes it as "SSU rRNA". It matches the Rfam family "Eukaryotic small subunit ribosomal RNA", at positions 83 to 1066 of the family's 1831-position model. Lineage: Eukaryota; Fungi; Ascomycota; Dothideomycetes; Mycosphaerellales; Neodevriesiaceae. The record is from RNAcentral.
GAAACUGCGAAUGGCUCAUUAAAUCAGUUAUCGUUUAUUUUGAUAGUACUUUCACUACAUGGACAACUGUGGUAAUUACUAGAGCUAAUACAUGCUAAAAACCCCGACUUCGGGAGGGGUGUAUUUAUUAGAUAAAAAACCAACGCCCUCCGGGGCUCCUUGGUGAAUCAUAAUAACUUAACGAAUCGCAUGGCCUUGAGCCGGCGAUGGUUCAUUCAAAUUUCUGCCCUAUCAACUUUCGAUGGUAGGAUAGUGGCCUACCAUGGUCUCAACGGGUAACGGGGAAUUAGGGUUCGACUCCGGAGAGGGAGCCUGAGAAACGGCUACCACAUCCAAGGAAGGCAGCAGGCGCGCAAAUUACCCAAUCCCGACACGGGGAGGUAGUGACAAUAAAUACUGAUACAGGGCUCUUUCGGGUCUUGUAAUUGGAAUGAGUACAAUUUAAAUCCCUUAACGAGGAACAAUUGGAGGGCAAGUCUGGUGCCAGCAGCCGCGGUAAUUCCAGCUCCAAUAGCGUAUAUUAAAGUUGUUGCAGUUAAAAAGCUCGUAGUUGAACCUUGGGCCUGGCUGGCCGGUCCGCCUCACCGCGUGUACUGGUCCGGCCGGGCCUUUCCUUCUGGGGAACCACAUGGCCUUCACUGGCCGUGUCGGGGAACCAGGACUUUUACUUUGAAAAAAUUAGAGUGUUCAAAGCAGGCCUUUGCUCGAAUACAUUAGCAUGGAAUAAUAGAAUAGGACGUGCGGUUCUAUUUUGUUGGUUUCUAGGACCGCCGUAAUGAUUAAUAGGGACAGUCGGGGGCAUCCGUAUUCAAUUGUCAGAGGUGAAAUUCUUGGAUUUAUUGAAGACGAACUACUGCCAAAGCAUUUGCCAAGGAUGUUUUCAUUAAUCAGUGAACGAAAGUUAGGGGAUCGAGGACGAUCAGAUACCGUCGUAAUCUUAACCAUAAACUAUGCCGACUAGGGAUCGGUGGGUGUUAU